CCCGCAAAGCAUCCACACGGCGAUCCACGGCCUUCGCGAUCAGAUCUCAGGCUCCGGCCUCACCUCCAGUUUUCCAGCCUCCUCCUCCUCCUCCGGCAACGGCGGUUGGCGCGGAAUAAUUUGACCUACUGGUUUAGCAGGUCAGAGGCCUCACUGAAGCUGUGCAGGCCAUACAGCAGCAGCAGCCGCAGGCAUCAGUGCGAC
This 204-nucleotide long non-coding RNA is filed under the name Elaeis guineensis (African oil palm). RNAcentral's name for it is "long non-coding RNA (EGUI_LNC073427)". The record is from RNAcentral. Lineage: Eukaryota; Viridiplantae; Streptophyta; Magnoliopsida; Arecales; Arecaceae.